UACGGGGGGAGCAAGCGUUGUUCGGAUUUACUGGGCGUAAAGGGCGCGUAGGCGGCGUGACAAGUCACUUGUGAAAUCUCCGGGCUUAACUCGGAGCGGCCAAGUGAUACUGUCGUGCUAGAGUGCGGAAGGGGCUACUGGAAUUCUCGGUGUAGCGGUGAAAUGCGUAGAUAUCGAGAGGAACACCUGCGGCGAAGGCGGGUAGCUGGGCCGACACUGACGCUGAGGCGCGAAAGCCAGGGGAGCGAACGGG
This 253-nucleotide ribosomal RNA is filed under the name uncultured bacterium. Its description in RNAcentral is "partial 16S ribosomal RNA". It matches the Rfam family "Bacterial small subunit ribosomal RNA", at positions 524 to 776 of the family's 1533-position model. The record is from RNAcentral.